Molecule: long non-coding RNA, 1208 nt
Filed under: Helianthus annuus (common sunflower)
Lineage: Eukaryota; Viridiplantae; Streptophyta; Magnoliopsida; Asterales; Asteraceae
Description: hypothetical non coding rna
Source: RNAcentral
GUUUCUUCAAGAAUCAAGACUUCACACCUGCUACUUCAAUGAAGAUAUAAACUUGCUGAAGAAAGAUGCUCGAAAUACUUCGUUGGAAUUAAUCCCCACGGUUGUCUCAUGAACGGAGACCUCCGACGUCUCUUGCUACUUUCAGUUUCAACCAGACGGCCUUCCUUUUGUCAGUGUUCUUUCCGUCGGUUAACUGUUCGACGAAAUGACAAUUAGAAACUUUUUUAAAAAAUUAGGGUUUUUAUUUUUUCAGUUUCGAAAUACUCCGAGUUCAUAAAUCAAAUGACAAAAUUGUUUAUAUGAUAAGAAAUCACAUACAGUUUUAAUGGUUGUAUUUUUCGGUUCGAUUCUCGGUUAUUUUCAGUCCGGACCUAAACUUGCUCACCCCUAUAUCUAAGAUGCACAAUUUCGAGCGUUGCAACACCAAUACUGUUCUAGUGCAACAUUAGAGAAUUUCUAUGUUUGGGAUCUUGGUUUACUUCAAUGCCCCUCAGGUUAGUCUUGAAAUUAAAUAUCCAAACAAAUUCUUAAAUUUAUAGAUUCCAUUUGUGUUGUGAUUUUCGUUUCUGGCUAAUGAUUCCAUUUCAUGUCAGUAAUUGUUUGAUACUGGACAAAAUAUGAGAAGGAGAUCCUUAGCGGGUCAAGUAAACUUCUAACUGAAGAUUUUUUUUUUUUUUAAGAAAGAACAAACAAUUCUUAUGUAUUGAGGUAUGUGUUUCUAUUUUCUAUUUUGCCAACUCUUGUUAUACGUCAAGUUUUGGGAUCCAAGGGACAUGGUAUACUUAUUGAGUUCUAAAUAGUUUUAGUCACAAAACUUGAUAUAUGGACUUAUGUGACAUGAUAUGCAUAUUGAGUACGAAAUAGUUUAGGGACAUGAAAUUAUGCAUGUUGUUAUAUAUCCAAACAAAUGCUUAAAUUCAUAUAUUAGGAUUAAAUUGUGAUUUUUACGAUUUACUUUAUUUAAUUGUUGUCUCAGGUUGGGAAAGAAGUAGAAGAAUACUCGGCUGGAUAUGGAUGGCAUUCGCGAAGAUUGGUCGACUUAUGCACUUACCUCUAUUUUUAAGUGACAAAUCGUAUUUUAGGUGUUGACGAUGUAUUGAUAAAUAAUUCUUUUUUUUUGUUAACGUUGAAAUAUUUGUAGUAUACUUGACAAAUGAUUAUGUAAUGGAUUGUUUUGGUUUAUAUAUAUAUGUGUGUGUGUAUUUGUU